AUACGUAGGUGGCGAGCGUUGUCCGGAAUUACUGGGCGUAAAGCGCUCGUAGGUGGCUUUGUAAGUCAGGUGUGAAAUCCCGGGGCUCAACCUCGGAACUGCCUUUGAUACUGGGUGUCUAGAGUGUGGAAGAGGUAAGUGGAAUUCCGAGUGUAGAGGUGAAAUUCGUAGAUAUUCGGAGGAACACCAGUGGCGAAGGCGGCUUACUGGUCCAUUACUGACGCUGAGGUGCGAAAGCGUGGGGAGC
Molecule: ribosomal RNA, 247 nt
Filed under: uncultured bacterium
Lineage: Bacteria
Description: partial 16S ribosomal RNA
Rfam family: Bacterial small subunit ribosomal RNA
Source: RNAcentral